RNAcentral lists this ribosomal RNA (756 nucleotides) under uncultured Actinomyces sp. Its description in RNAcentral is "bacterial SSU rRNA". It matches the Rfam family "Bacterial small subunit ribosomal RNA", at positions 28 to 776 of the family's 1533-position model. The record is from RNAcentral. Lineage: Bacteria; Bacillati; Actinomycetota; Actinomycetes; Actinomycetales; Actinomycetaceae.
GACGAACGCUGGCGGCGUGCUUAACACAUGCAAGUCGAACGAAAAUACCAAGCUUGCUUGGUUGAUUAGUGGCGAACGGGUGAGUAACACGUGAGUAACCUGCCCCUUACUUUCCUGGAUAACUGCUCGAAAGGGUAGCUAAUACGGGAUAUUCUGACCAGUCUGCAUGGGUUGGUUUGGAAAGGUUGUUUUUCUGGUAAGGGAUGGGCUCGCGGCCUAUCAGCUUGUUGGUGGGGUGAUGGCCUACCAAGGCUUUGACGGGUAGCCGGCCUGAGAGGGUGGACGGUCACACUGGGACUGAGAUACGGCCCAGACUCCUACGGGAGGCAGCAGUGGGGAAUAUUGCACAAUGGGCGCAAGCCUGAUGCAGCGACGCCGCGUGAGGGAUGAAGGCCUUCGGGUUGUAAACCUCUUUCGUCAGGGAACAAGGCACUACGUUUUGGUGGUGUUGAGGGUACCUGGAUAAGAAGCGCCGGCUAACUACGUGCCAGCAGCCGCGGUAAUACGUAGGGCGCAAGCGUUGUCCGGAAUUAUUGGGCGUAGAGAGCUCGUAGGCGGCUGGUCGCGUCUGUCGUGAAAACUUCCGGCUCAACCGGGGGCUUGCGGUGGGUACGGGCCGGCUAGAGUGCGGUAGGGGUAACUGGAACUCCUGGUGUAGCGGUGGAAUGCGCAGAUAUCAGGAAGAACACCGAUGGCGAAGGCAGGUUACUGGGCCGUUACUGACGCUGAGGAGCGAAAGCGUGGGGAGCGAACAGG